UACGUAGGGUGCGAGCGUUAAUCGGAAUUACUGGGCGUAAAGCGUGCGCAGGCGGUUCGCCAAGUCAGGUGUGAAAUCCCCGGGCUUAACCUGGGAAUUGCGCUUGAAACUAGCGGGCUUGAGUGCCGGAGAGGAAAGCGGAAUACCUGGUGUAGAGGUGAAAUUCGUAGAUAUCAGGUGGAACACCAGUGGCGAAGGCGGCUUUCUGGACGGUAACUGACGCUGAGGCACGAAGGCCAGGGGAGCAAACGGG
RNAcentral lists this ribosomal RNA (253 nucleotides) under uncultured bacterium. RNAcentral's name for it is "partial 16S ribosomal RNA". It matches the Rfam family "Bacterial small subunit ribosomal RNA", at positions 524 to 776 of the family's 1533-position model. The record is from RNAcentral.